GGAACUGCUGUUUAUGAUGAUAGUUAUAAUCCAGAUAAGUAUGAUGCUCACGCAGCUAAUCAACCAGAACUUGAUAAUGGUCACGGGGCUCACGCAGUUUAUCAACCAGAACUUGAUAAUGGUCACGGGGCUUAUAAUCAAGCUAAACAAGAUUGUCACCGUAAAUGCAUGGAAAUAAUUGCGCAUAUAG
Mytilus trossulus (common blue mussel) is the source of this 190-nucleotide long non-coding RNA. RefSeq lists it as uncharacterized. NCBI's taxonomy places the organism in Eukaryota, Metazoa, Mollusca, Bivalvia, Mytilida, Mytilidae. The record is from RefSeq and is a predicted model, not a curated record. The transcript has 2 exons.